This 642-nucleotide long non-coding RNA is filed under the name Trifolium pratense (red clover). RNAcentral's name for it is "long non-coding RNA (TPRA_LNC009934)". Lineage: Eukaryota; Viridiplantae; Streptophyta; Magnoliopsida; Fabales; Fabaceae. The record is from RNAcentral.
UCAAAAUCAUUACAACACUAAUGAAGGAUUGUAAAGCAUUAAACAUUGAAUUGUAUCAAAUUAACACUAUGAAAUGAGUAGAUUCUUACACAUAUAACAGAUUACAUAUGAUCUCCCUACAUUCUAGACUACCCUAGAUCCUACCUCCAAGAAAAGCUCAGCUCCUCAUGUUGCUUGCUUCGCGUCCUCGCUUCAACUUCAUGGCUCGAUGAUCCAUGCUAUUGAGGUGCUCGGAGCUAUCCUUUGAAGUCCUUGAUCUGGAUCUUGAUGCUUCCAAAAUCAGAGAAUGAAUGAAUAAUGCAGAAUUUUCCAACCCGAAAACAGAAUUAUGCAGAAAAUAUAUAUACAGAACGCAACCACGCCGCGCGCCAGAUCCACCACGCCGCGCGUGGUUGCAAUUCCAUCAACUGCGCCGCGCGUGGUAACAGAAUCACGCGGCGCGUGAUCAAGUCAGAGGCAAUCUUCAUCUUCAAUCAAGACUUCACGCCGCGCGUGGUAAGGUGUCACGCCGCGCGUGGUCAAGUCAGAGAGCAUCCCAGUUCCUGAACCAAGCUUCACGCCGCGCGUGGUCAAGUACCACGCCGCGCGUGAUCAGAGUGAAAAUCCUUGCUCCCUGUGAGCUCCAUCACGCGGCGCGUGAUG